GGUCAAAAGAACAUAACAUAUAAUGCCACCCACAUCAGGGAAAAUGAACGCUCUUCAGCAAGAUUGGUUGGUGAAGGUUUCCAAAGACAAUUUUGAAUCCAUCGCCAAAGAUAUACAGAAUUUUGUGAGAAAGAAGGAAAAUCAAGCAUUUGCUUGCAAGUGCCUCCUUACUUGUAGCAAACUAGCCUUCAAUGAGAAGUGCUCGUCUCCAGAUGCUUUGUUCAUUGUGACAAAAGCUUGUUGUGACGCUAUUGUUCUUGAUACAACGGAUCAACAGAAGUUAAUAAAUGCUCUUUAUCACAUCACCAAAUAUCUUUUAGUGGAGAACUUAUUGGAGGAAGCUAUGUUAAUCAGUGAAAAUGUUAUCAAAGUAUGGAAAACAAAAGCAAAUGGCUGGUCUAGUAGCGAAGAAAAUACAGUGAUGGCUUUUCUUCAUAGUUUUUCUAAGCAUUUGAUGAACAUAAAUAUCAUGCAAGAUCUUGACACACUGGUCAGCCUCAAAAAUAAGGCUUCAGCUCUGAAUCUGUGGUCGCACGUAUUAACUCUUUGCCUCAGUCUGAACAGAAAACCUCUCGCAGAUAUGCUGGUUAUUUUGGUCAAUUUAGCCAUAAAAUUCCACAACUUAGAGAAGGAAAAAACAUCUGCUUUUCUCCUUGCUUGUCUACAAAGUCUUUUGACUUUAUCUGAAAAUAUCUCCGCUGAAAAGAUAAAAUUAGACGAACUUGUCCUGAGUCGCAUUUUACAGGUUUAUCGGCGAAUCGUUAUUAAUUAUAUGUCAAUUGAAAAUGGGUCCCAGCUUAGAGAAUCGGUACUGAGUGUGCUAGAUAAGCUAAAAAAAGUAUUCGUUUGUGGUGCAGAGCAAGUGAGCUACAUUCAGUUUUGUGAAAAAAUCGUACAGUUUGUGAACCGAUCCAUGCUUGAUCUAAGUUUAGAUGCAAAGUUGCUGAAAGACUGUCAAACCAUGAUGAAUAAGUGGAGCAAUGAAUCUAAAUUAUCCUAUGAUUCGUCUUAUUUCAUGAAUGGAAUCUUUUUGAAAUUGGGAUCAUCAUGGACUAAGAGGGAACCUAAACUUCCAGGAGUCCUCUUCUCGCCACUGAUUAAGCUCGUCUUGAAAAGUCACAUGUUUCUGGAUGGCAAUCGCAUGGAGAUAUGCUCUGAAAAGUGUGCUAUGAACUGCGAUGAAUCAACAAUCCUGCAAAGUAAAUGCCUUCCUCUCAACUGGUUGAUGAUUUUUUACAAUCAGAAUCCAGACAAAAAUGAAACAUCUAUAAAAUUCUGGACAAGUAUCUACAAAGAUCUUGAAACUCUACUUGCAGAAACUCAAGAUUUUAUUCUCAAGCUAUCUGAAGCGAAUUGUCCUAGAUUGUCAAAGCUUUUCCAGUAUGCUUUACCGUACUUUUUAAAUGGUAUCAGUGGAUUUGCCCGGUCAGCCCAGUACCAAAGUGCAUAUACCUUAACUGUUUCAAUGUUGCAAAAUUUUGUUAAGCUACCAUCAAUAUUUUUGGAGGAAAACCUCACUGGAAAAUUAUUUGUCAAAGCACUGAGCCUUAUAAAUUGUUGCUGUUAUAAUUUAGGACAGUAUGCAACUCCUUUAAGCAUAAUAUCUGCAUGGGCUCUCAUUUUACCAAGUCAGAGAAAAACACUGUUUAGACUAUGGACUAAUUUUAAAUUGGAUGUUUUUCGGUCCAAGGAAAAGAAACUUGAAGCGUCUGUUUGGCACGUUUUGACUUUCAAUGCAAGUAGUAUCAAAAAGCUUUGGAAUGCACCCGACUUAUCUCCUGAAUGUGCAGGUUCAUUAUUAAUAGAGGAAAUGAAAGCUUACUGUAAACAUAAUUUACCGUAUUGUGAACCUUUCUUUGCUGUUUUUGAAGCAUGUCGGAAACUCAAAUUGUCACCUCAUCAGGAAGCCAUCAUUCUUUGCCUUUUGGUCCGUGCUCUUGCUCAUGAUGUAUCCUCCAUAAAGAAACUAGCACCCAUCUUGGACAAAGUGAAAGAAAUAGAGACCCAGUUAUGUGGGCUCAAGAAGAAAUCAGAAACUAAAGAAAAAUUGAAAAUCAACAUUCUUCUCGGCUGUUUAAUUGUAGCCAGGUCCUGUUGCUUAAUUCUGAAGAUUCGCAGUCAAAAUGAAGGAGAACUCAGCAGUCAAUGCAUGGUGGUAGAGCAACCAAAAAGUGAUGAACCAGGCACAGAAGUGAAUCCAAACGAUUCCUGCGCUGUAACCCCAUCAUUGUCUUUUAUGAAAAUAGAUAGCCACCAGCAGCUUUUUGAUUUGCUUGAUGAAGGCGUGAAGUACCUCAGCACUGCAGCAAGCACUAAAGUUUUAGAAAGUAUUUCAUUCGACAGUUGUUUAUAUUUUGACAGCUUAGUUGAUGCUGCUCAUAUCUAUAAGAUUUAUGGUUAUGAAAUUUCAGAAUACACCACCUGGGAGCUAGGGUUCAAAGUUUGCAGCACCUUAAAGCAAAACGAGGGCACAAUUAUAAGUAUGGCAAAUAUUCUUGGUUUAAGGUCAACUGUUAGUGCCAAGUGGUUGGCUCACACGGAAACGCUGGUGCAAGCCCUUGAUGAGAACGAAACUGCCCUGAAAUAUCAAUACUUCCUAGCCUGCAUCAGGAAUAAUUUCUUGAAGCAAGAGUAUGAUACAGUCAAUGAUUUGUUCCAACGUGUUGACACUAAAGAGCUCAAGAAAGCUCACAAACUACUUUACGCUGAAUAUUAUAUCCUUCUUAGCAAGUGUUUUUUCAACCCAGACAUUUCACCUAUCAACUGCGCCGUAGAAGCUUACAUAUGUCUGGCAGCUCAUGUGAAAAAGAAAGAUUGGAGUAAUUUCACAGAAAGCUGUAAGUUGAACUCUUUGCUGUUUGAGGCCACUCUAAAUAUCGGUGACAACUUUUUGGAUCUUAUGCUCCCCCGAGAGACGCGCUCUUGUUUGAAAGCACAACUGAGACUUGCUCAAAAACUCGCUUUACCAUUAAGGUUAGCCCAGGUUCUAGUCCAGCUAACAUGGGUGGAUAUAAUGUGCUGCAACAAAAACGAUGCAAAAUUAAAGAUUCAAACUUUGGAAGAAAUCCUACUGCUGCCUAUGCGUGUUUCCAACUUAGUUCCUGUAAAGACGGGAUCUCGGCGCACCAAGCUUAUCAAAGUAGAGCAGCCUGAUUUUCUGAAACAUGAAAAUUGCCAGUGCUUUGUGUGCGCCUCGUCACUGUGCCAGCAUGUCAUCUUAGAAACUAUACGUCUGCAAGCUGCCUUUACCAACUUAAACCCUGAGUUUCGGAACUACUGCAUGGAUUUCUUGAAAUGUGCUCAAAACAUGUUAUCCAAAAUCUGUCGGAAUAGGAAAGAAGAAUGGAUGCAACUUAGUGAAAUCAAGCUUUUCAUUCAGUAUAUCGAUUACCUGACUCUCGUCAAGAGCUUUAAAGAGGCGACCAAGAUAAGUGAGAAAAUAUCUGUGUUUGUCUCCUCGUUCCCUGAUGCUCACCCUUGCAAUAAAAUUCUGAAGCAGGACAUGUUUGAGCAAAUGGUGAGUCUGAACAGAGCUGAAACAGAGCAGUUGAAAACUGUCUAG
RNAcentral lists this long non-coding RNA (3562 nucleotides) under Bemisia tabaci. RNAcentral's name for it is "lncRNA ENSASIAIIG005091". The record is from RNAcentral. Lineage: Eukaryota; Metazoa; Arthropoda; Insecta; Hemiptera; Aleyrodidae.